UACGUAGGGGCAAGCGUUGUCCGGAAUUAUUGGGCGUAAAGAGCGCGCAGGUGGUUGAUUAAGUCUGAUGUGAAAGCCCACGGCUUAACCGUGGAGGGUCAUUGGAAGCUGGUCGGCUUGAGUGCAGAAGAGGGAAGUGGAAUUCCAUGUGUAGCGGUGAAAUGCGUAGAGAUAUGGAGGAACACCAGUGGCGAAGGCGGCUUCCUGGUCUGUAACUGACACUGAGGCGCGAAAGCGUGGGGAGCAAACAGGAUUAGAUA
Molecule: ribosomal RNA, 260 nt
Filed under: uncultured prokaryote
Description: partial 16S ribosomal RNA
Rfam family: Bacterial small subunit ribosomal RNA
Source: RNAcentral